Non-coding RNA from Ailuropoda melanoleuca (giant panda), 73 nucleotides. Lineage: Eukaryota; Metazoa; Chordata; Mammalia; Carnivora; Ursidae. The record is from Rfam.
ACCCAGCUGGCUCAGUUGGAAGAGCAUGCGACUCUUGAUCUUGGCGUCAUGAGUUCAAGCCCCAUGUAGGGUG